This 740-nucleotide ribosomal RNA is filed under the name uncultured Bacteroidales bacterium. Its description in RNAcentral is "bacterial SSU rRNA". It matches the Rfam family "Bacterial small subunit ribosomal RNA", at positions 35 to 762 of the family's 1533-position model. Lineage: Bacteria; Pseudomonadati; Bacteroidota; Bacteroidia; Bacteroidales. The record is from RNAcentral.
GCUAGCUACAGGCUUAACACAUGCAAGUCGAGGGGCAGCAUGGUCUUAGCUUGCUAAGGCUGAUGGCGACCGGCGCACGGGUGAGUAACACGUAUCCAACCUGCCGUCUACUCUUGGCCAGCCUUCUGAAAGGAAGAUUAAUCCAGGAUGGCAUCAUGAGUUCACAUGUCCGCAUGAUUAAAGGUACUUUCCGGUAGACGAUGGGGAUGCGUUCCAUUAGAUAGUAGGCGGGGUAACGGCCCACCUAGUCAACGAUGGAUAGGGGUUCUGAGAGGAAGGUCCCCCACAUUGGAACUGAGACACGGUCCAAACUCCUACGGGAGGCAGCAGUGAGGAAUAUUGGUCAAUGGGCGAUGGCCUGAACCAGCCAAGUAGCGUGAAGGAUGACUGCCCUAUGGGUUGUAAACUUCUUUUAUAAAGGAAUAAAGUCGGGUAUGCAUACCCGUUUGCAUGUACUUUAUGAAUAAGGAUCGGCUAACUCCGUGCCAGCAGCCGCGGUAAUACGGAGGAUCCGAGCGUUAUCCGGAUUUAUUGGGUUUAAAGGGAGCGUAGAUGGAUGUUUAAGUCAGUUGUGAAAGUUUGCGGCUCAACCGUAAAAUUGCAGUUGAUACUGGAUGUCUUGAGUGCAGUUGAGGCAGGCGGAAUUCGUGGUGUAGCGGUGAAAUGCUUAGAUAUCACGAAGAACUCCGAUUGCGAAGGCAGCCUGCUAAGCUGCAACUGACAUUGAGGCUCGAAAGUGU